This 558-nucleotide ribosomal RNA is filed under the name uncultured bacterium. RNAcentral's name for it is "bacterial SSU rRNA". It matches the Rfam family "Bacterial small subunit ribosomal RNA", at positions 338 to 916 of the family's 1533-position model. The record is from RNAcentral.
CCUACGGGAGGCAGCAGUGGGGAAUCUUGCACAAUGGAGGAAACUCUGAUGCAGCGAUGCCGCGUGAGUGAAGAAGGCCUUUGGGUUGUAAAGCUCUUUCGUCGGGGAAGAAAAUGACUGUACCCGAAUAAGAAGGUCCGGCUAACUUCGUGCCAGCAGCCGCGGUAAUACGAAGGGACCUAGCGUAGUUCGGAAUUACUGGGCUUAAAGAGUUCGUAGGUGGUUGAAAAAGUUGGUGGUGAAAUCCCAGAGCUUAACUCUGGAACUGCCAUCAAAACUUUUCAGCUAGAGUAUGAUAGAGGAAAGCAGAAUUUCUAGUGUAGAGGUGAAAUUCGUAGAUAUUAGAAAGAAUACCAAUUGCGAAGGCAGCUUUCUGGAUCAUUACUGACACUGAGGAACGAAAGCAUGGGUAGCGAAGAGGAUUAGAUACCCUCGUAGUCCAUGCCGUAAACGAUGUGUGUUAGACGUUGGAAAUUUAUUUUCAGUGUCGCAGGGAAACCGAUAAACACACCGCCUGGGGAGUUCGUCUUCAAGGUUAAAACUCAAAGGAAUUGACGG